This 45-nucleotide non-coding RNA is filed under the name Schistosoma haematobium. Lineage: Eukaryota; Metazoa; Platyhelminthes; Trematoda; Strigeidida; Schistosomatidae. The record is from RNAcentral.
AUCCAGCCAACGGGUCCUGAAUAGGACGAAAGGCGCGUCCUGGAU